AGUGAACGCUGGCGGUAGGCCUAACACAUGCAAGUCGAACGGCAGCACAGUAAGAGCUUGCUCUUACGGGUGGCGAGUGGCGGACGGGUGAGGAAUACAUCGGAAUCUACUUUUUCGUGGGGGAUAACGUAGGGAAACUUACGCUAAUACCGCAUACGACCUACGGGUGAAAGCAGGGGAUCUUCGGACCUUGCGCGAUUGAAUGAGCCGAUGUCGGAUUAGCUAGUUGGCGGGGUAAAGGCCCACCAAGGCGACGAUCCGUAGCUGGUCUGGGAGGAUGAUCAGCCACACUGGAACUGAGACACGGUCCAGACUCCUACGGGAGGCAGCAGUGGGGAAUAUUGGACAAUGGGCGCAAGCCUGAUCCAGCCAUACCGCGUGGGUGAAGAAGGCCUUCGGGUUGUAAAGCCCUUUUGUUGGGAAAGAAAAGCAGCAGGUUAAUACCCCGCUGUUCUGACGGUACCCAAGGAAUAAGCACCGGCUAACUUCGUG
Molecule: ribosomal RNA, 492 nt
Filed under: uncultured bacterium
Lineage: Bacteria
Description: partial 16S ribosomal RNA
Rfam family: Bacterial small subunit ribosomal RNA
Source: RNAcentral